CAUUUGAAAAUAAGGCACAUAAUUGCUUCUUAAUAUAGCUUUCACAUUUGAAAAUCAUCAUAUUUAUUUAUUUAUUUAUUUUUUAUUUUUUAGCUUAACAUAAUGACCUUCUUACUAUAGCUUUCACAUUAGUUUUUUUUUAUUGUUUAUGGUUAAUCAUGAUUUUUCACUUAGAAAAUUUCUUAGCUUAGCUUAGAGCCUAUAAGGGCCCUAUUGAAUGGUCAGCAUCUUUGACCAAGUUGCAGUUAAGGCACAUAUUGCUUUCACAUAACUUUUUACUGUUUAUGAUUAAUCUUCAUUUUCUACUUAGAAGAUCUCUUAGCUAGGUAGGUAUGAGCCUAUAAGGGCCCUGUUGACUGGUGGGUCCAGAUCCACCUGACGUAGACAAUCCCAUUAUCAAGUUUAGUCAUAAUGAAACAAAAUUCUCUCCAUAAAGAUGCAAAGUAAAUAAAGUUUUAUUCAACAGCAAUUAUUAGCAAAUUUAGAAGAAGAGUGUGCUACAAGCAAAUCUUAUCUUCCAAAUCUAAGGCUCCAUCAACAAUGAUCUUCAAGCAGAACUCAUGAUAAGGAAGCUUAAAUGUUAUUGCAAUGAAACUUUCCCAUGCGGAUGCAUGCUUCCAGGGUUUUCACCUCGGCCACCAUCUCGAUAUCUCUCCUUCUACAACGUAUGAAUCCAUAUUGGAAAUGAGGCAGCUGGCUCUGGACAUCUCCAUAUUGGGAACCCCUAAAUCUCUAUCCAAUCUCCCAAUUUACCAAUGUCUUACUUGAUUUAAGAUCUCAAUACUUUCUUUUAGGAAUUCCCUUAGGUGCCCUCCUUUUUCUUUUUCUUUUUUUUUUUUUCUUUUUUUUUAAUAUGGGUUUUAUUUUUUGGAGAAGGAGAUGAAAAGGAAGCGUUUGCGUAAGAGAGGUUUGUUGCAAUGAGAUAUAAGUUUUUUGUUGCACAUUUCCAGAUUUUGCUGCUGUUGAUGCAAAAAAAUUUCGCUAGUUCCUCUCUGAGUCAAUAAAACCGUUCCUCUUUUGAGUCAAUAAAACGGAGUUAGACCCUUGAGGCACUGGAGGUAUAGAACAAAGGUACUUUGACAGAGUUAGCCUCAACCAGUCAAUAAGAUGGAGUUAGACCCUUGAGGCACUGCUGGUAUAGACCAACGGUACUCAAGGUACUUUCACAGAGUUAGCCUCAAAUCUUUGACAGAGUUAGAACUUUGAGAUACCGGUGGAGAUAUAGGUGGUACCAACCAAAGAGUUAGACCCUCAAAGGUACUCCGGACACUUGAAGGCUGAGAUGAACUUGCAGAUUCACCAGAAUGUAAAGUGAAAAUAUAUUGCCGUGCUUGUGUUGAGAGAGCUUCCAAGAUGCUUGCUAAUACACCAACACCAAGAGUUCCUCCAUUGAUCCACUUGGCUUCCAUUCAUCAUCACAGUCCGCAGAGGUAGCUGGAGCGCAGGUUCCAGAAGAAGUUCCAACUAUAGCCUGCAACCCCAAAGGGCUUAGCUUAGAAUCAACUCAACCAUUGAAUUGGAGUGAAACCAAGGAAAGAACAGAGAGCCUAGAGGGAUCAGUGAGUAUGGCAUAUAGGUAAAAAAAAAACUCUGCUUCUGCUCAAUGGGUUCAUCAUCAUCAUCAUCAUCAUCUUACAAUCAGGCUGUCAGAGUAGAUGAUUCUGAUCGCUCUAUGCAUUAGAAUAUUCCAAAAGUGUAAAAAUUUAGUUAGUUUUGGCAGAAAAUUGCAAAGCCAAAACUGUAAAUUCAAAUUAAUUAGUAGUCGCUUAGAAUUGAAGACAAUUGCUUCCAGAUUUGGUAUGUCACUGUUUUCCAAAGUUGAGUGGAUGCAAUUUUUUUCUUCUCUGACAUUGACGGUAAUUUGCUGUAGCAUACAUACUGCCGAAGCAUCACUAUUUAACAGUGACUCUAGUCAACUCGUGCAUGCAUGAGAUCUUUUAGUGCAUCAAAGUAUGAGGUGGUGAAAUUUUACUCACCACACACGGUGACUCCCAAUCAAAUGAUGUAACUGAUUCAUCAAAACCAAGUAAAAUGAUGCAUCAAUCAUUCCAAAAGCCUAUUGAGGAUUAGGCUGCAUUGGACCGCUUAGAUAGACUUGGUGGGAUGUAUGAGAAAUGAAAGUGUGGAAAAUUAGUGCUGUGCUCUAUUAUGACUCUGACUAUGCCUAUGUGGGGCAUCUCAAAAUAUAACGACUUGAUUGCAAUAAGCCAAAGGGAGGCCUAUUGCUUUUAAACAAAUACCAUUUGUAGCACAAGAAAGAUGAGCAGCCGGCCUGGUUUAGAAACAAAUAUAUUAAUAUGAUUUUAUUACUUUAAUGCCAUGUGGUGUUUUAUUUGGCAGCUGUUGAAAAUAGAUUUCUUCAUUUGUCUUCAUUUGUUAUUCAUUUUGUUUGCAACCCAAAUAUGAGAUGUACCCGCAAGAAGAAAAUUUAAUAAUAAUAAUAAUUAUUAUGUUUGAUU
Long non-coding RNA from Ziziphus jujuba (common jujube), 2459 nucleotides. RefSeq lists it as uncharacterized. The transcript is spliced from 2 exons. Lineage: Eukaryota; Viridiplantae; Streptophyta; Magnoliopsida; Rosales; Rhamnaceae. The record is from RefSeq and is a predicted model, not a curated record.